CCCUCGGGGCCUGUGUGCACAGGGAGGAUAGCUUGUUGAUCUGCAGGCUCAGGAAGGAAGGUAGCUGGCCCGUCAGUCAUCCGCCCUGCAAAGCCCUCCCGGGAGACCCCGUAGAGCGGACCGGACGCACUCUCGCCUUAGGGGCAGCGAGCGCCUGGCCUCAGGUUUCCCGCCCUCGGAGGCCCUCGGAUCUCCCCGGUAACGCUUAGGAGGUCGCCUACCCCUUGGGGAGUCGAGGCAGAGCUUCUGGGAAUGGGGUCUGAGGGAAGAGUACUCACCAGGCAGUGACAGGUAGCCGGCGUUGAGGAUCGCCACUGCCAUCUGGUUCUGUGGUAUGAAUGGCUGUGUCUCUGGAGAGUUAGUUCUAAGGUUUGAAUGAUGGUAGGCACUUGAGGAUUCCAGCACGUAGCAGGGUUUAGGAACGUCUUAGUUCUUGCCUCCAGUCUCGACUCUCCGUCCCUACCAGGAGCAGGCACUUCUACGAAAGCUCUGUUAGACCAUCGAGAAAGAGCGUAUACUGUAGAACCACAGUUAUUAGGUCUUUUUUUUUUUUUUUUUUUUUUUUUUUGGCUUGUAUUUUUAUUUCAGAAACUACCCAUGGAGCAGACUUGCUAAAAUGAAAGUUAUUAAUGAACUCUAAUGCUAUCCAAAUUGUGAAACAAUGGUACAAAUUGAGACAGAGUAGAAGCUAUAAGUUGAUAGGGUAUGGGAGUUUAGGGGUUUGGGAGUGGAUUUUCUAGAGCUGCAGCUGUCCAGUAUAGUAGUCACUGGGCACCUGAAAAGUGGCUAGUCUGAACUGAGGUCCUCUCUAAGUGUAGAAUAUGCACCAGAUUUCUAAAGCAUGGUCUGAAAAGAAAAAGGAAUGUAAAAUAUUUCAUUAAUUUUAUAUUGAUUACAUGUCAAAAUGAGAAUGUUUUGGAAAAUUUUAAAUUACGUGGUUUCCAUUCUAUUUCUAUGCAUACUGCUGUUCUGGAGAGUAAAAAUCUCGCCGAAGAAGAGUAGGCCUUUCCUUUAGCAAUUGUGAAGAAAACCAACCACGCUGCACCUCUUUCAGCAAGAUGCAAUGUGGUAAACUGCCUUUGAAAGAGACCCACAUGUCAAGAAACUGAGCAUCUCCUAUGGCCAACAACCAGCAAGUAACGGAAGCCCCAAGACGAACGGCUUGUGCAAAACUCAAUUCUGCCUACAACAAGAGCAUGAAUUGAGAUGCAGAUCCUUCCCUAGUUGAUCCUUGAAAUGCUUGCAGCUCUGUGGACAUCUUGAUUGCAGCCUUGUGAGAAAUUCUGAACCAGAGGACUUUGUAUGCCUUACCCAUAGGACUUAGAAGACAAUAAAUGUUUUUCAAAGAA
Chlorocebus sabaeus (green monkey) is the source of this 1349-nucleotide non-coding RNA. NCBI's taxonomy places the organism in Eukaryota, Metazoa, Chordata, Mammalia, Primates, Cercopithecidae. The record is from RefSeq and is a predicted model, not a curated record.